AAUCUUGCGCAAUGGACGCAAGUCUGACGGAGCAACGCCGCGUGAGUGAUGAAGGNUUNNGGAUCNUNAAGCACUGUCAUUGGNNNNNAAAAGAUGACGAUAACCAAGGAGGAAGCCCCGGCUAACUACGUUCUAGCAGCCGCGGUAAUACGUAGGGGGCGAGCGUUGUCCGGAAUUACUGGGCGUAAAGGGGACGUAGGCGGCUAUAUAAGUCAGGUGUGAAAUACCAGUGCUUAACACUGGAAUUGCAUUUGAAACUGUGUAGCUUGAGUGCAGGAGAGGAAAGUGGAAUUCCUAGUGUAGCGGUGAAAUGCGUAGAGAUUAGGAGGAACACCAGUGGCGAAGGCGACUUUCUGGACUGUAACUGACGCUGAGGUACGAAAGCGUGGGUAGCGAACA
Molecule: ribosomal RNA, 399 nt
Filed under: uncultured bacterium
Lineage: Bacteria
Description: partial 16S ribosomal RNA
Rfam family: Bacterial small subunit ribosomal RNA
Source: RNAcentral